GAUGAACGCUGGCGGCGUGCCUAAUACAUGCAAGUCGAGCGAACAGACGAGGAGCUUGCUCCUCUGACGUUAGCGGCGGACGGGUGAGUAACACGUGGAUAACCUACCUAUAAGACUGGGAUAACUUCGGGAAACCGGAGCUAAUACCGGAUAAUAUAUUGAACCGCAUGGUUCAAUAGUGAAAGACGGUUUUGCUGUCACUUAUAGAUGGAUCCGCGCCGCAUUAGCUAGUUGGUAAGGUAACGGCUUACCAAGGCAACGAUGCGUAGCCGACCUGAGAGGGUGAUCGGCCACACUGGAACUGAGACACGGUCCAGACUCCUACGGGAGGCAGCAGGAGGGAAUCUUCCGCAAUGGGCGAAAGCCUGACGGAGCAACGCCGCGUGAGUGAUGAAGGUCUUCGGUUCGUAAAACUCUGUUAUGAGGGAAGAACAAAUGUGUAAGUAACUAUGCACGUCUUGACGGUACCUAAUCAGAAAGCCACGGCUAACUACGU
Molecule: ribosomal RNA, 496 nt
Filed under: uncultured bacterium
Lineage: Bacteria
Description: partial 16S ribosomal RNA
Rfam family: Bacterial small subunit ribosomal RNA
Source: RNAcentral